RNAcentral lists this ribosomal RNA (494 nucleotides) under uncultured bacterium. RNAcentral describes it as "partial 16S ribosomal RNA". It matches the Rfam family "Bacterial small subunit ribosomal RNA", at positions 28 to 507 of the family's 1533-position model. The record is from RNAcentral.
GACGAACGCUGGCGGCGUGCUUAACACAUGCAAGUCGAACGGUGAAGCGCCUUCCUUUUUGGUGGGUGUGGAUGAGUGGCGAACGGGUGAGUAACACGUGAGUAACCUGCCCCCUUCUUCUGGAUAACCGCAUGAAAGUGUGGCUAAUACGGGAUAUUCUGGGUCUGUCGCAUGAUGGGUCUGGGAAAGAUAUUGUUUCGGUGGGGGAUGGGCUCGCGGCCUAUCAGCUUGUUGGUGGGGUGAUGGCCUACCAAGGCGGUGACGGGUAGCCGGCCUGAGAGGGUGGGCGGUCACACUGGGACUGAGCCACGGCCCAGACUCCUACGGGAGGCAGCAGUGGGGAAUAUUGCACAAUGGGCGCAAGCCUGAUGCAGCGACGCCGCGUGAGGGAUGGAGGCCUUCGGGUUGUGAACCUCUUUCGCCAGUGAAGCAGGCCUGCCUCGUUUGUGGGUGGGUUGACGGUAGCUGGAUAAGAAGCGCCGGCUAACUACGUG